This 869-nucleotide ribosomal RNA is filed under the name uncultured bacterium. RNAcentral's name for it is "bacterial SSU rRNA". It matches the Rfam family "Bacterial small subunit ribosomal RNA", at positions 1 to 841 of the family's 1533-position model. The record is from RNAcentral.
GGCUUAGAGUUUGAUCAUGGCUCAGGACGAACGCUGGCGGCGUGCCUAAUACAUGCAAGUCGAGCGAGCGGAACUAACAGAUUUACUUCGGUAAUGACGUUAGGAAAGCGAGCGGCGGAUGGGUGAGAAACACGUGGGGAACCUGCCCCAUAGUCUGGGAUACCACUUGGAAACAGGUGCUAAUACCGGAUAAGAAAGCAGAUCGCAUGAUCAGCUUUUAAAAGGCGGCGUAAGCUGUCGCUAUGGGAUGGCCCCGCGGUGCAUUAGCUAGUUGGUAAGGUAAAGGCUUACCAAGGCGAUGAUGCAUAGCCGAGUUGAGAGACUGAUCGGCCACAUUGGGACUGAGACACGGCCCAAACUCCUACGGGAGGCAGCAGUAGGGAAUCUUCCACAAUGGACGCAAGUCUGAUGGAGCAACGCCGCGUGAGUGAAGAAGGUUUUCGGAUCGUAAAGCUCUGUUGUUGGUGAAGAAGGAUAGAGGUAGUAACUGGCCUUUAUUUGACGGUAAUCAACCAGAAAGUCACGGCUAACUACGUGCCAGCAGCCGCGGUAAUACGUAGGUGGCAAGCGUUGUCCGGAUUUAUUGGGCGUAAAGCGAGCGCAGGCGGAAGAAUAAGUCUGAUGUGAAAGCCCUCGGCUUAACCGAGGAACUGCAUCGGAAACUGUUUUUCUUGAGUGCAGAAGAGGAGAGUGGAACUCCAUGUGUAGCGGUGGAAUGCGUAGAUAUAUGGAAGAACACCAGUGGCGAAGCGGCUCUCUGGUCUGCAACUGACGCUGAGCUCGAAAGCAUGGGUAGCGAACAGGAUUAGAUACCCUGGUAGUCCAUGCCGUAAACGAUGAGUGCUAGUGUGGGAGGUUUCCGCCUCCUC